UGGUAUAGCAAGUAUUGGUGGGAACACAAAGUGAUGGGUCCUGGCACAGUGCUCAGGGUUACAGAUAAAAGGCUUGAUGCAGACACCUCCCCCAAGCCCACAAUUUUUCUUCCUUCAAUGGCUGAAAUCAAAUUCCACGAGGCUGGAACAUAUCUCUGUCUUCUUGAGAAUUUUUUCCCCGAUGUUAUCAAGAUAGACUGGAAAGAAAAGAAUAGCAAAAGAAUUCUGAAAUUCCAGCAGGCAAACACCGUGAAGACUAAGGACACAUACAUGACAUACACCUGGCUGACCCUCACUAAAAUGUCAAUAGCUAAAGAACACAAAUGUAUCGUCAAGCAUGAGAAUAAUAAAGGAGAAGUUGGUCAAGAGGUUCUUUUUCAUUCAAUGAAAAAAGAGCUCGCUGCCAUUAAGUCUAUAGAAGCUUCUCUGAAAGAUGAAAAUGACCCCCUACAGCUGCAGUUCAUGAACACCUCUGCCUACUACACCUACGUCCUCCUCCUGGUCAAGAGCAUGGUCUACUCCAUCAUUAUCGCCUACUAUCUACUCGGAAGACCGGCACCCUGUGACAACUGGAAGUUCGUAAUACGUGGUGGCACAUGUAUCUAGUGGGGCUUUCUUUUUGGGUCUGGGUCAUUUUAGUUCACAUGUCUUCUUCUAUUGUGUCAUUAUUGCAGAACGGGUUUACAAACCACAGGGCAAAAAAAAAAUGUCACUCAGCACCAAGAACAAAUUCUGCUGUGACUCAGGGGAGAGGUGGGGGACAUCCACAGGGGCUUCAGCACCAUUCUCUCCUUAUUGUCCACCUGCUCCUCAGCCACCAGUACCCUGGCCUUCGAGCACACCCAGCGUGCAGCUUCCCUAGCAUCCUCUGGGCCUCUUUAUCCAGAUAACUGCCUGGAGGCCUUUUACUCUACAUUUCUGGAAGUUGCCAUCUUUGCUACCUGAACUUUGUGCUGGUUUUCAUAGACACAGUAAAAAUAAUCAA
Molecule: non-coding RNA, 985 nt
Organism: Suricata suricatta (meerkat)
Lineage: Eukaryota; Metazoa; Chordata; Mammalia; Carnivora; Herpestidae
Source: the annotation of a RefSeq genome assembly